Molecule: long non-coding RNA, 3114 nt
Filed under: Vigna radiata
Lineage: Eukaryota; Viridiplantae; Streptophyta; Magnoliopsida; Fabales; Fabaceae
Description: long non-coding RNA (VRAD_LNC003457)
Source: RNAcentral
CAAAAUUUGGGUUUUGUUUUGGUUUCGCGCUCCUCCUUAGAAAAUUCAUUUAGGUUUUCCUUCUCCGAAGCAUUGGUCUCCAUUUGUGUGCCCUUUUUCUGGUUUUUACUUCUAAGGUGCUUCAAUCGGCGCUUCCAUCGCCGGUGCCGCUCCCAAUCGAGUCUCUCGAUCGUGAGUUUCAGGUAAGGGUUUUCUAUUUUGAUCUCACUUAAGUGAGGGUUUUUCUAUUUUGAUUUCACGUUUUCAUCUUGAAGUGCAUUGUGGUGUUAAGUAAUUCCUAUAGUCCUUACAUUCAUUUUAGAUGAUUGCCAUAACUAGAAGAUUAUUUUCUGUCCAAAUACUUUAUCAUUUUAGAUGUGGGAACCAAAGACAAAAAAUUGUAUAAUUGAGUUUUUGGUGGGUUUUAUGGGCUUAAGGUUGAUUUGGGUUAGAAAAGAAAUAACAUUGUGUUGUAGUCAUUUAAUGCACAUAUUAGACGUGAGUAUUAGAGAAUCUAACCCAACUUCUCAAUCUGCCUCUCUUUGCAAGUUUUUCCUUUUUUUUUGUGUGUUUCUCCUGGGAAUGAGAUCAGGAAUGUAGUUCUCUUCUUAAAAAAUUCAGACACCAUAACUAUUUAUGCAAUACCAGAUUCAUUUAUACAACAAAUGCUUUGAUUUUGAGUAGUCUUCACUCAUUUUUUGUGAAUUUUGUAAACAUGUCUGUUGUUGUUAUUGUGAUGACUUAAAGGUAAAAUCAAAAGAUUGCUAAAGAGACAUUGACUUAAUCACCUCCUAAUAAUGCAUAUAUAAGCUUUAAAACAGCAAAACCAAAUAUAUAUAAAAGAAAGACUUUAUGUACAGGAUAAACAUAAUGAUUGAUUCUGCUUGAUCUUUCAAUAACGAACGGGGAAAAAUAUGGGCAUAUAACCAAACUUAAGGGUUAUUAACAUUGGCUAUAGGAUACUGUGAUAAUUAAAUUGUAACUGGUCCAAACUGAAAACGACACCCUUUGAAGUUAAGAUGACAACAAAGGACAUAAUACAUUAUCAAGAACAUUUUGACAACGACAGGUGCAUGCUUAUCACAAUUAGUUGUUGACCAAACUAUGUUAAAGCUAAAAUAUGAAAACAAAAAAGGAAAAAUCCAUGGUUUUUUAAGCAAAACUUAAAAAAAAAACUGUUCCUUUUGGUUUAUUUCUCUAAUGUUGAAGACUGAAAGGACAGUAUGGGAUACCAUAGCAGUAAAUUUGUGUUCUUUAAGACAUGAAGCCAAAAUUUGACUAUAAUUAAAAAUGUCAAAAUUAAGAAUAUCUUAAUUUUUUAUUUUAUCAAUUAGGAUAAUUGUUAAAAAUAUCUUUGUAGUCUUUUUAAGGACAGACUUGAUUGAAAUUUCGUGAGUGAGAAUUUUAUUUGUUUAAUUAGGUUACAUAAUAUUAGGUUAAAUUAUAACAUUCAGACGUUUGUAGGUUAGGUUAUAAUUAACGUUGUAUAGGUUAUAUAAAUAAUAUUAUAUUAGGUUAGUAUGAAAAUAAUAUUAUAUUAGAAUAAAAUAUAAAGGAUAUUUUAAUAGGUGCUGUAUGUUAAUGUAGGUUUCUUUGUUCACUCGUUAUUUUAAUUCUUUAGUACUGGUAGUCAAAUAGAGUGGGGUCAUAUGCCUUAAAAUUUGGGAAGGUUGUACGCAUAUGAGAGAGAACAGAAAUGUGGCUAUUUCGGAAAUUUUGUUAGCUGGUGUGUAUUCAUGCACAAAUUUUUAUAGCUAGUACCGACUCAUUGUUUAUUGGGUUUUAGUUCAAUUGUGAUGUGAAUACUAUUUAUUCGUUCGGUGUGAUCUUGAUGAUGAUAAAAUACUAAGUGUUUGGCACAAAUGCAUGUUAGGGUGAUUAUUAAUGUGUGAUAAUAAUAUUCGAGCUGUAUUACAAGUAUCGUUGUAUUUGAAAUAUGUACUCUUAUUGUAUCGGUGUAAAAACUUAUGUAGUACCUUUCCUCUUUCAUGAGGGUAGAAAGAUAGGUCUCUUCGUCUAUAAAAGGUGAUAGAAGAGACAAGGCUCGAGUGCCAAUCUUUUCUCUUUCGAGAGGGCAGAAAGGGUUGGAUGACUCGAACUAUCAUGUUUUGGUGAACAGGUGUCAUAUGAUAGAGUACAAAAAGGACAAUGUGUAUCUUUUGUAUUUAUUGAUUUUGGUGUACUUAAUUGAAUAUAUCAUGUUAACUAUAUUACUUUAUUAACUAAUAAUUGAUGUGUUGAUGUGGUAUUAAAUGAAGAAUAUGGUGGCUUACCCUUAUUGUUUGUGUGUGAAUGCGAUGAUCGUAUAACUCGUGUUGUUAUACGGGAGUAGAUGUUAAUACAGAUGUUCCUGCAUAUAAUUAGAGCAGAAAGAAGUCGGGAAUAGAACGGGGAAAGAUUUCUUUUAGUUUUCGAACAUUUUCAGUAUAUUUGAUUUAUGUUAUUUUAUUUUAAGCUGACUUGGAAAUUACAAGGUUGUAAUAAAUGUCCUUUUAAUUGGAUUGUAUUGGAUUAUUGUUUAUUUCCUCAGCCUGAGAUUUGUAUGAAUGUUUUCUUUUGUUUUCGUUUUAAAGGAAUAAUUUUUUUUUAUCUCGUAACAAUCAGAAAUGGGAUGUUACAUUUAAUGUGUAGGUAUGAUUGUGGUAUGUUGGUGAUUAAAUAUAUGGAGUUAUGGGACCACUUACCUAAAUUUGAUGGGAACAAAAUUUCCUAUUACACAACGGUUUGUUUUAUUUAUGUAUAUGUUUAUUUGAAUAUGAUUUAUUGAUAAAAGUUUUUUAAGUGUAAUAUUUAACAAGAGUAUUGUUAUUGUAGGAACAAUUACAAAUUGUGCGACAAGAGAUGGUUUGUCAGUGGGUAUUACACGAAGAUAAUGUUCAUCGCACUAUGGUAUUGAAGAAAUUUGGGAUGCUUUAAUCAUUGAUUAACUCAUGAAGUUGUACAACAUGAACAAGUUUAAUACAUUGAAGUAGGGGAACAAUUAAUUUACAUAUUUAACAUAAUAUCAAUGAAAUAUGAUUGAUUAGGACACCAUGAAUGUUAUUGGUUUUUAGCAUGUUUAGUUUUUGUAAUGAAGAAUAUGUUUCACUAUUUAAUGUUUAUGAAUUUUAUGAUUGAUUAUAAAAUGCUUUAUGU